GUGCUUCAGGACUUUCCAGAAAACUUCUUCAAUUCUACCGGAUGUCCUCAACAUCAAAUCAAAUGAGUAAACAAAUCAAGAUGGCCCGCAAGCAUGUUGUCUUCCUCAAUACAUAUCACACUUCCGAUCACCAUCCUCUACAAACAAUAUUCAUGUUUAGCUUGUAAUCACUUGAAAAACGAAAAACUCAUUAACGUUAUGAUUAAACACCAAUGAAGAAUUCUUUAACAUGAUUGUAGUAGAUCUAUGUUGGCUCAAAAGAUGAUUUUCUGGUUCAUUUUCAAGUUUAGCACUCUCAAAGCUUUCACCAGAAGCUACAUAAUCGAAAUUCAAGAUGAAGUUGAAGUUAAUGAGCUUUUCUAUGCGAAGUAAAAGAUGAUUCAAAGGUAUUUCUUGCUUUUUCUCUACAAAGCUGAGACAAAACUUGAUUAAUUUUUAUUAACUUUUGUUCAAAUAAAAUUUUACAAUAGAAUGAGCCUAGUACAAGACUAAUACCAGCAUUAGCAAAUUUAUUAUUUUUAUAUUGGUCAAAUAAAAUCAAUAAAAAAAGAUGGUUACAUGUAGUUUGAAGCUUUGUUGUAUUAACUCUUUGCUUCUAAUUAUUAUGUGAUUUAUUUGCCUGACCUUUUGAAAACACAAGUCAUAAAAUCAUAGUCAAUGCAAGCUUAACAUAGUCAAUGCAAGCUUAACAUGUCACAUACAUAUACCAUGUGAGCUAUAACAUGGUAUUGAGUGACCAUCCCAUAUGGAAAAGAGAUGUCCUUACUUGGAAAGGUAAGAACCAUGAGUUAAGUUAAAGUAUAUCCACUAGCUAUGUCACUUAGCACAAGCUAUGGGGCACACAGUUAGGGACAAAGUGAUUGCUACUAGAGACCUGACCUAUACUAAUGGUAAAAACAUCAUUUUGAAUAUCCUCCGAGUGCUUAACAAAAAUACCACGGAAUGGUCAUCAAUCAUAUUUAUUUCAUUAUCCAUGGAAAGACACAAUUAAGCAACCAAUCCAAGCUAAUGUUAUUUAUAAUGGGUAGUUUUAAUAAGUAAAUUACUUAUACAGGUCUUAGAAUAGGGUUUAAAACUACAUAACUUAGAUUUUAAAUAAAAAAGGGGAAAGAAUAAAAUAUCCCUAACUUAAAAGAUGAUGCGUGACCUAUAUGGACCUCAAAACAGUCCGUAAAACUCUUCACUGGCUGUUUAGGGAGGUGUACAAAUCACCCCGAAUUCCUAUCUGCCUUAAACUGCUAGGCCACUUCCCUUAAAUGGGCAAUGAUGCUCUAAACGGAACCUUUAGAGUUCCCUGAAGGGUUUAUGUUUCAUUUUUGAUUGAUGACUUGCUUGUUCGCUCAAUAUAACCUUUUUGAAAGCCCGAUGUGUUACAACAUCUCCUCCUUGGGAGCUUUCAUCAUUGAAUGGAACUUAAGAUAACAUGAAAAGUUUAAGAGAGAAACUAACAACCAAACAUGAAUGCAACUUUAUCAAAAUGCACAUAAACAAGGAGGAACAUUUACCCCAAGCUAAAUAAUAGUCAAAACAUCAUUUCAUAAGGCAUAGUUGCAAAUCAUACACAAUUGCACAUAAUCAGUGUAUGGCACAUAAUCAUGAAGUACUAAAUCAAGCUAAAUCAUAUCCUAAACAAUCAACUUUUUUAUGAGCAUGCACACAUGAGUAAACAUGGGAAUGACUAAAACACAAGAACCCUAAAGAAAUAAUCAUGAGGGCUAAAUGCCUCAAGCUAAAGUAGGAGCGGAGGGAAAGAGAUGAGGAUAUAGAGACAUUAUAUCAGUCUCUACCUUUUAAAUAGAACCCUCAAUCAUUUGUUUCCUCCACAACACUUUUACCGUUGCUGCCUCUUUGUUUCUCAACUCUCCAACUUGACGGUCUAAAAUCUCAAUUGGAACCUCUUCACAAGAAAGACUUUCAUUUAUAUCAAGAUUCUCUAAUCGUACAUUGGAUGUCGGAUAUCCAACAAACUUCUUAAAUAUACCGAUGCUAAGUCAUUACGAAAAUCAAGUUCAUAAGAAACUUUACCAGUACGUCUCAAAAUCCGAAAUGGGCUUACGAAUCGGGGACUAAGAUUUCUCUUUUCCAAACCUUAUGACACCCUUCAUAGGUAUAUUUAAUUAAACCAUCAUCAAAUCAAACUCCAGAUCUCUUCUUUUAACAUUGGCAUAUGACUUUUGUCAACUCUGAGCUGUUUUCAAUCUUUCUCUAAUAAGACGAACUUUCUCCAUAGUCUCAUGUACAACCUGGGACCACUUAAAGCAACCUCACCAACUUUAAACAAAACCUAUUAAAGAUCUAUACUUGCCAUAAUGAGCCUAAAAUAGAGCCAUACCAAUGUUUCAAUAAUAGCUUAUUAUAACCAAACUCAAUCAAAGGAAAAUGAUCAUCUCCAUUAUCCAUUAAAUCAAUUACAUAAGAUCUCAACUUUUUAUAAAGUUAACUCAAGGCAUUGACCAUUAAUUUGGCUUUGCCCGGGUGAUAGAAGACAAUCAUAUCAUAAAGCUUCAAGAAUAGUCAUCUACGUUAGUGAAUAUUGAGUUCCUUUGAUUGAACACAUAUGAAAACUUCUGUGGUUGGCAAAGUCAUCAAUAUGAACUCCAUACAGAUAAUGCCUCCAAAUCUUUAAGGCAAAAACAAUUGUCGCUAGUUCCAGAUCAUGGACAAGAUAGUUUUUUUCAUGAAUAAUAAGUUUCCUUGAAGCAUUAGAAAUAACUUUCACAUUUUACAUAAGAACACAUCCUAAUCCAGUACUUAAAGCAUCAUAACAAAAACAAACCCACUAAAGCCUUUUGGUAAAUUAUACAUUGGAUUAGAGGCAAGUAUACCUUUCAAUUCUUGAUAACUCUUUUCACAUGCUUCUGACCAUAAAAAAUUUACUUUAUUUUUGAUUGAUGCAGUCAAUAAAGAUGCAAUCAAAUAAAAUCCUUCAAAAAACCCUCUAUAGUAUCCGUCCAAACCCACAAAGUUGCGAAUAUCUAAAGGGCAUAAAGGUCUUAGAUCAACUCUUAACCGCAUCACUCUUCUUAGGAUCUAUCUCAAUAUCCUUGCCGGAAAUAAUGUAACCAAGAAAAGCCAUAGAUCUCAACCAAAAGUAACAUUUACUAAAUUUUGCAAUAGUGGUUGGUCCCUGAGAACUUGCAACACAAUACUCAAGUGAUCGAUAUGCCCAUACUAACUCUACAAGUAAAUCAAGAUAUCAAUCAUAAAAACAACGGUAUUGUAUAAACACUCAUACCGAGUUCUAAAAUCCAUAUUUUGAAUACUAUGUUCCUUCACCCUCAAUUGGUGAUAAACUGACCGGUGGUCCAUCUUUGAAAAGUAGUCGCUCCUUGGAUUGAUCCAAAAAUUCAUCUAUUCAUGGAAGAUGAUACAUAUUUUUAAUAGUAACCUUGUUUAAUUGGCAGGGAAUAAACCAUCCUUAUUAUGAACAAACAAGACUUGAAAACCAAAUGGAGAGAUACUCAGUUGGAUGAAAUCCUGAUCCAGAAAAUCUUUCAGUUGUUCCUUUUCAAUCCUUAAUUUUUGUCAAAUUCAUGCGGUAAGGAGAAACAGAAACAAUCGGCAUAUAUGGGAGAAGGUUAAACCAAAGUCUAUUUUCCUUUCGAUAGGAAUACAAUGUAAAUAAAUGGGAAACACUUCUGGAAACUAAUUUGAAAUGGGGACCGACUCAAGAAUUCUGAACAAGAUGAUAUAUACAGGUCUUAGACAUUAUUUUUCUAGCUAUAAGAAAGAAAAAAACUUUCUCAUAGGCAUAGAAUUCAUACUUAGAAUACAAUCAAAAUCUAACAUAUCAAGCUCUACAAUAUCAAUAUGAGUGUUUCUAUGGGAUAAGGAAAUGGGAUAAUUUCUAUAGACUCUCUUAGCCACAAUAGAUUCACCAAUAGGAGUAGAGACAAAAAAAAGGGUCUAAUAACACAUAUGAAGAAACAUCAAAUCUUAUAGGCACAUAUGGCGUCACAAAAUACAGGGUAGCACCAGGAUCAAAUAACACAUAAACAUCAAGAUGAAAGACUUUCAACAUAUUGGUAACCAUAUCAGAAGCACGCUCUUGCUCCUGUCGAGUUUGAAGUGUAUAAAAUAUGUUUUUCCUUGGAGAACUUGAACCCGAACCACUAGGAGAAGCUUACCUACCAUAUCUUCCCUUAGUAGAAAGUGACGAACAAUAUCUUAUGUUAUGGCCCCUCUUACUACAACUAAAACAACCAUCUGUAUUGGCAAUUACCAUAUUUUAUCUUCCACACUUAGUACAAGUUGACAAAGAAGAUCUACCACCAUUCCCUCUUGAGGCUUAGAGUUAGACACCCUAUCUUUGUUGAACUUUUGAAUCGAAGCAUUAAAGAAACCUUGACCGAAACACUUUUGUCAUAAUCUAGAACAACCAUUUCCAUCGACCUUAUAUGUGAAAAGUCACCAUUACCGAUCUUUUCCCUCUUUGCCUCCCUAGAUAUUUCCUUAACAUUUCUUUUUCUAUUUAUUGAGAAUGUGUCAUUAAAUGAAAGAUAUACAUUCCCUUCAUAAGCAUGGUGGUACGAUAUUCAUUAGCCACCAUUUUGGACACACCUGAACAAACUCAUCCUUGCCCUAGAGUCGAGAAGCAUAGAAUGAACAUUUUGGACAAUUGUGUAAAUUUUAAAGAAUAUUCUUUCACACUCAUAUUUACUUAGAAAAGGUAAAUGAACUCAAGAAACUUUUGCCUCCAUCAUCUUAAGAGGAAAUAAUCUAUUAAGAAAAGAAACCUUAAACUUCUCCUAAUGAAGAGGACCCACAUCUACCGCCUACUCUUCCUUCUAUUGUUCAAAUUAAACUUUAUCAACACCCUUAAGUUGAUAAGAGCCUAAUUCUGCCUUUUCCACCAGUGUUACUCCCAUGAUCUUCAAAACGUUAUGUUACUCAUGAAUGUACUAUUGAGGAUCCUCAUCAACCUUGGAAUCAUGAAACUCCAGGGGAUUCAUUCUAGUGAAAUCCCUCACUCUAGUUUCCGCCAUACCCACAUUUGGGUUUUUGGGGACCACAACCUCCCUAUUGGCUUGAGCCGUCAUAACUGGAUCUAACACUUGAAAAGUGGUUCAAAAUUCUAUAUUGGUAACUUUUUUGGUAAAAAGGUUUACUGGAACUUUAAGAUCUUCUUGUUUCAUAUUCUCACCCAUAUUCCUUCUACCUCUUUGAGGGGCCAUAUCCUAAAAAUCAUCAGAUUAGGAUUAUAAGAGAGACAUAAAGAGUUAUACUCUAGCGCAUGACUUUAAAAUGCUGUUCGAAGUGGAGUUUCCUAAACAUCUUAUAGCUUCAUAUUCAUAAAUAUAGUGCGAUUCACAUUUAUUAAUAAGAAUCCACUUGAUGUGGCUUGUUACAAAACCUAGGAUCUUUCUAAACUUUUUGCUCUGAAUACAAAGUUUGUCAUGCCAAAGUGUACCCUAGGUGUAAAAUGACGCACACAACCUUGAAAGGCCUCACACAAGCCAUUUAACAUACAUCAUACAAGAUAAGAAACAUUUAUUUUUAAAAAAAUAGUCCUAUAUCGUAAAAGAGUUUCACAAGCUGAGAGUCUUACAUAGUCUAAACAAGUCAUCUAUUACAUCAAAAGGAAGUGGUUGAGAUGUGACGGAUACACCAUAAAAAAAUUCUGGAAACAAAAAUGACAGAAAGCUAUACAAGUGUACUAAGGAACAAGAAAAUAAGGUUUCAUUUUAACAUCUUGAAUUCACCAUAGCCAUUGGGACUUAAUCACUAAGCUAUGUUGGUAUUCACUUAUGGAGUCCUUUCUUUUAUAAGGUUCCCAAGAUCUUCCAAUUUUACAAAGCUAAAUCACAAUUCAAAGUUAGGAUUUUAUUCAAUCUUCAUGGGCUCUUUUCAGUUAUGAGUCAACUAGUUGUUUUCUAUAUUCUAAUUAAAAAAUAAGUAAUUACAUGAUUUUUAUUUGAAUAUAUAUGGACUCAUGCAUAAUCUAUACUUUUAGACUAUGAAUACAUGAUUAAGCUUAUGAAUUAUGAAGGAUGAAUUUAUGAAGACAUGUAUAUUUUAAUGAAGUUGAUGUAAAUGAUUUGAGAAUUCUUUUAGAGUAAAGUAUAAAUGUUUUUAUUGUGAAUGAUAUUUCUCACAUACUAAUAAGAUCAUGAUUUUGAAAGAUUUUCUCACAAAAGGAUUCACAAGAUUGAAAGGUUUUCUCACCUAAAUUAAAUUAUGUUACGGAGCUAUUGUAAAUUACUUUAGCUUCGAUUAUUUUCUUAAUUGUGUCAUUCCAUGGAUAAUGAAAUAAAUCUGAUUAAUGACCAUCCCUUGGAUUUUUGCUUAGUACAGAGAGGAUAUAGAUAUGGAUGUUCUCCCGCUAGUAGAGUUUGUCUCACCAAUAGCAAUCUCCUUAUUAGAGAGGAUUCUACGGAUGAACUUGGAGGGAAAUUUAGAAUUUAGGUGAAUAAUUUAGAAUGUGUAGUUUUAGUACAUAAAUCACUUAUAUAGGGCUUAUAAUAGGGGUUAAAAUGACAUAGAUUAGGUAUUAAACACAUAAGAUAAAUAGUAAAAUAGCUCUAACCUAAAAGUUAAUGGGUGACCAAUAUGAACUUCUAAAUGGUCCGUACAACUCUUCACUAGCCAAUUAGGGAUCCAUACAGACAACCCCGAAUUCUUGGCUGCCUUAAAUGGCAAGGCCACUUCUCCUAAACAGAUAGUGAUGCCGUAAAUGGCCCAUUUAGGGUUCUAUAAAGGGUUCAUGGUCCAUUUUAGGUUCAUGGACUUGACCUAAGCUCACUUUAGACUUUUUCAAAGCCUGGUGUUUUAUAUCAACUUUAAAUCCUUUGUUUUAGAUCUGAUAACAAAGAACUAUACCUUCUUUCACCAUGAAGUGAUACUUCUUUCUUCACACCAUUUUAGUGAAUCACCUAUAUGGACCAAGCAAUCAUCGAAUGAUUCACCUACAACAUAAAAGUGGUCGAUGAAUACCUCAAUAGUGUCUCCCACCUUGAUUGAGAAGAUGGACAUCAUGAAAAGUUGGGAAAUUCACCUAAUGUUCUAAAAAUGGUUUGGGUGAUUACUUAAGGGUAUUUUUAAGUAGUUUUAUAAGUAUAUAACCCCAAGUCAAUUCAUUAUUCAAAAAUCAAACCCAAAACCCCAAAGAAGAACUCUGUAGAACUCCAUUGGAGCUUGAAGCAAGGUGGGAGCUUGGAUCUUGAUUUCUCCAUCAAUUCUCAUUCAAUUCGUGUCUAAUCAUCAAUCAAGGUUUCGUUCGUUGAAGGACUUUUGGAGACGACUUUGAAGAAGACUUGAAAUUCUUAAUCAUUCAAGGUUGGUAGGUCCUCACUUUCCCAGGGAAAUACCACUAUCAAGCUAUGAAGUUU
Molecule: long non-coding RNA, 7328 nt
Organism: Solanum pennellii
Lineage: Eukaryota; Viridiplantae; Streptophyta; Magnoliopsida; Solanales; Solanaceae
Exons: 3
Source: RefSeq, a predicted model, not a curated record